AUCUAUGGCCAUGCCACCUUGAACGUGCCCAAUCUCGUUUGAUCUCUGAAGCUAAGCAGAGUCGGGCCUGGUAAUACUCGGAUGGGAGUUUACCUAGGAAGACCAGGUGCUGUAGGCA
Molecule: ribosomal RNA, 118 nt
Filed under: Pteropus alecto (black flying fox)
Lineage: Eukaryota; Metazoa; Chordata; Mammalia; Chiroptera; Pteropodidae
Source: RNAcentral